GCGGCAAUAGCUCAGUGGUAUGGCCCCCGCUUCCGUGCGGGGAACCCGGGUUCGAUUCCCGGCUGCUUCC
This 70-nucleotide transfer RNA is filed under the name Toxocara canis (dog roundworm). It matches the Rfam family "tRNA". From Rfam's summary of the family: Transfer RNA (tRNA) molecules are approximately 80 nucleotides in length. Their secondary structure includes four short double-helical elements and three loops (D, anti-codon, and T loops). Further hydrogen bonds mediate the characteristic L-shaped molecular structure. tRNAs have two regions of fundamental functional importance: the anti-codon, which is responsible for specific mRNA codon recognition, and the 3' end, to which the tRNAs corresponding amino acid is attached (by aminoacyl-tRNA synthetases). tRNAs cope with the degeneracy of the genetic code in two manners: having more than one tRNA (with a specific anti-codon) for a particular amino acid; and 'wobble' base-pairing, i.e. permitting non-standard base-pairing at the 3rd anti-codon position. Lineage: Eukaryota; Metazoa; Nematoda; Chromadorea; Rhabditida; Toxocaridae. The record is from Rfam by way of RNAcentral.